This 1597-nucleotide ribosomal RNA is filed under the name Clostridium oceanicum. RNAcentral describes it as "bacterial SSU rRNA". It matches the Rfam family "Bacterial small subunit ribosomal RNA". The record is from RNAcentral. Lineage: Bacteria; Bacillati; Bacillota; Clostridia; Eubacteriales; Clostridiaceae.
GAGUUUGAUCCUGGCUCAGGACGAACGCUGGCGGCGUGCCUAACACAUGCAAGUCGAGCGAUGAAGCUUCCUUCGGGAAGUGGAUUAGCGGCGGACGGGUGAGUAACACGUGGGUAACCUGCCUCAAAGUGGGGAAUAGCCCUCCGAAAGGAGGAUUAAUACCGCAUAAAGUAAGAGUAUCGCAUGGUACUUUUACCAAAGAUUUAUCGCUUUGAGAUGGACCCGCGGCGCAUUAGCUAGUUGGUGAGGUAAUGGCUCACCAAGGCAACGAUGCGUAGCCGACCUGAGAGGGUGAUCGGCCACAUUGGAACUGAGACACGGUCCAGACUCCUACGGGAGGCAGCAGUGGGGAAUAUUGCGCAGUGGGGGAAACCCUGACGCAGCAACGCCGCGUGAGUGAUGAAGGUCUUCGGAUUGUAAAGCUCUGUUUUCUAGGACGAUAAUGACGGUACUAGAGGAGGAAGCCACGGCUAACUACGUGCCAGCAGCCGCGGUAAUACGUAGGUGGCGAGCGUUGUCCGGAUUUACUGGGCGUAAAGGGUGCGUAGGCGGAUUCUUAAGUGGGAUGUGAAAUACCCGGGCUUAACUUGGGUGCUGCAUUCCAAACUGGGAAUCUAGAGUGCAGGAGAGGAAAGUGGAAUUCCUAGUGUAGCGGUGAAAUGCGUAGAGAUUAGGAAGAACACCAGUGGCGAAGGCGACUUUCUGGACUGUAACUGACGCUGAGGCACGAAAGCGUGGGUAGCAAACAGGAUUAGAUACCCUGGUAGUCCACGCCGUAAACGAUGGAUACUAGGUGUAGGAGGUAGUCGACCCCUUCUGUGCCGCAGUUAACGCAAUAAGUAUCCCGCCUGGGGAGUACGGUCGCAAGAUUAAAACUCAAAGGAAUUGACGGGGGCCCGCACAAGCAGCGGAGCAUGUGGUUUAAUUCGAAGCAACGCGAAGAACCUUACCUGGACUUGACAUCCCUUGCAUAACCUAGAGAUAGGCGAAGCCCUUCGGGGCAAGGAGACAGGUGGUGCAUGGUUGUCGUCAGCUCGUGUCGUGAGAUGUUAGGUUAAGUCCUGCAACGAGCGCAACCCUUAUUAUUAGUUGGCUACCAUUAAGUUGAGCACUCUAAUGAGACUGCCUGGGUAACCAGGAGGAAGGUGGGGAUGACGUCAAAUCAUCAUGCCCCUUAUGUCCAGGGCUACACACGUGCUACAAUGACAGGUACAGAGAGACGCAAGACCGUGAGGUGGAGCAAAUCUCAAAAGCCUGUCCCAGUUCGGAUUGUAGGCUGCAACUCGCCUACAUGAAGUUGGAGUUGCUAGUAAUCGCGAAUCAGAAUGUCGCGGUGAAUACGUUCCCGGGCCUUGUACACACCGCCCGUCACACCAUGAGAGCUGGUAACACCCGAAGCCCGUGAGGUAACCUUUUAGGAACCAGCGGUCGAAGGUGGGAUUAGUGAUUGGGGUGAAGUCGUAACAAGGUAGCCGUAGGAGAACCUGCGGCUGGAUCACCUCCUUUCUAAUCCCGCGGCCAUGGCGGCCGGGAGCAUGCGACGUCGGGCCCAAUUCGCCCUAUAGUGAGUCGUAUUACAAUUCACUGGCCGUCGUUU